Molecule: long non-coding RNA, 104 nt
Organism: Aricia agestis (brown argus)
Lineage: Eukaryota; Metazoa; Arthropoda; Insecta; Lepidoptera; Lycaenidae
Exons: 3
Source: RefSeq, a predicted model, not a curated record
AAUGAGUAAAUGAGGGAGUGAGUGAGUGCCAAAAUUAGCUAUUUUCACAGGGAGAUAUUUCAGGAUCUACCGAAGCCAUAUCUAUUAAAUUUGGUAUACUGCUU